AAUGCGUUUCGGCUUGUGGCCU
Molecule: microRNA, 22 nt
Filed under: Oreochromis niloticus (Nile tilapia)
Lineage: Eukaryota; Metazoa; Chordata; Actinopteri; Cichliformes; Cichlidae
Description: oni-miR-4585
Source: miRBase by way of RNAcentral